CCUACGGGAGGCAGCAGUGAGGAAUAUUGGUCAAUGGUCGGGAGACUGAACCAGCCAAGCCGCGUGAGGGAGGAAGGUACAGAGGAUCGUAAACCUCUUUUGUCAGGGAACAAAGGCGGGGACGUGUCCCCGGAUGAGUGUACCUGAAGAAAAAGCAUCGGCUAACUCCGUGCCAGCAGCCGCGGUAAUACGGAGGAUGCGAGCGUUAUCCGGAUUUAUGGGGUUUAAAGGGUGCGCAGGCGGUCUGUUAAGUCAGCGGUCAAAGCCCGGGGCUCAACCCCGGCCCGCCGUUGAAACUGGCAGUCUCGAGUUGGCGAGAAGUAUGCGGCAUGCGCGGUGUAGCGGUGAAAUGCAUAGCUAUCGCGCAGAACUCCGAUUGCGAAGGCAGCAUGCCGGCUCCACACUGACGCUGAGGCACGAAAGCGUGGGUAUCGAACAGGAUUAGAUACCCUUGUAGUC
RNAcentral lists this ribosomal RNA (459 nucleotides) under uncultured bacterium. RNAcentral's name for it is "partial 16S ribosomal RNA". It matches the Rfam family "Bacterial small subunit ribosomal RNA", at positions 338 to 795 of the family's 1533-position model. The record is from RNAcentral.